UUAGUAGUAAGUUAUUUUGGGUAAAGUAGUAACCUAUUUAUUUAAAAUUAUUAUUUGUUGUGGAGUUUAUUGCUCCUUCAAAAUAGCUCCCUGGAUUUAUCAUGCCACAUUAUUGUUAUAUCUAUUACCAAUAUGGUAGAUACGACUAUUAUAUAUAAUUAUGGUGAAUAUUGAACAUUAUAACCGGGAGACUCUACAUAUACAUGGCUGCAUACUACAGCUUAAAACAAACAUAACUAUAAAAUUGAAACUUAGCGGCAUCAAUAUGUGGAAACUCUUUAGAGCGUACAAUGAAUCCAAACAUUUUUAAGCUUGAGAUGUAAUUGAGUAAUAGUAUGGUAUAAGACAAGCAGCAGCAGAUCAAACAGGACUCCUAAAUCCCUGAAUUUGUCUGAACAGGCAUAAAAAACCUAGAGAACCGAUCCACCCUACUGUCUACUGAA
Anthonomus grandis grandis is the source of this 443-nucleotide long non-coding RNA. RefSeq lists it as uncharacterized. The transcript is spliced from 3 exons. NCBI's taxonomy places the organism in Eukaryota, Metazoa, Arthropoda, Insecta, Coleoptera, Curculionidae. The record is from RefSeq and is a predicted model, not a curated record.